GAACCGAUAAUCUAUGUCACACAUAGGCAACUUUACCGUGUCUCCAGGGUUUCACGACUCAAACCCGUGACCUAUAAGAUGUUGUCUGUAUGCCAACCCAUAUAUCAAUUUUGUUGUACUUAAUGAAGUAAUCUUGUACCUAGUAGUAAUUCUAAAUGAUGUUCUAAUCAAAUCCAUGUCAAACAGGGGUGACAAUGUACCAAGUAGACCUUGAAACCAAGAAAGUGGUUGUUAUUGGAGACAUAUUACCUUUCCAAGUUUUGGAGAGCAUUUCAAAAGUCGUAAAAAAUGCUGAGCUUUCGAGUUGGAACACUCCUCAAGAUGACUCGUUAUAAUGGGGAACCUACUCUAUGUUGAAUUCAUACAAGUAUUAGAGGAAAAAGGAGUUCAUUAUUCUCAACACUACUUCUUAUUCACUACUAUUUUCUUUUUCAAAUCUGCUUUGAAAUAUUUUUUUAUAGUCGAGGGUCUAUCAGAGAUAACUUUUUUAUCUUCACAAAGUAAGGGUAAAAUCUGCGUACACACUAUAUUUUUCAGGCUCCACCUGUAAAAAUACACUGAACUGUAUAUGUUGUUUGUUGUUGUAGUAGUGGAAAAGAAGGAGGAGAUAAAAGAGGGGGAAAAGAGCACAAAAUGUUAAUGAUUAAAGAAAAAAGGCUAUAUAUGCAAUAGUGCAACCACAUGUAUUCUGUAUCUUCAGCAUAAAAAUGAAGCAUAUGUACAUUUGGAGUGAUUUGUACAGAUAAAUUGUACUCCAAUAAGAUGUCAUGUAGUUUGCCUUGUAUUAUCCAUUUGUUUAACUUUCUAGAACCAGCUGUAUCAGAAAAGAAGAACUGCUUUUAUAUAUAUAUAUAAAAUAAUACUAGAGGGGGAUAUAAAAAUUUAAAAAGUGAUAGGGUGAUAGCCUUAUGUUGUAAAAUUCUACUCUGUUACUCUCUCUCUCUUGAUCUGUAAAAUUAUAUCGCUACUAUUUUAUCAAAUUAUGAAUUGACAUUACCCCAUUUUAUAUACUCUUUUUUUAAAAAAAUUCUUACUCUCUUCAUCUCUUCUCUCCAACAUUUUAAAGAUAUAGAUCUUUUCUUAACAAUUUUUUCUUUAACCUCACCCUGGCCACAAUUAAUUAUAUUUGCCCACUUUAACGUCUUUCUAGCAAUAUUUUGGGCUCAUCUUAACCGGUCUCUCCUAGAAAUUUACAGGUUGAUCCAUCAGGGUUAUUAAAAAGUUGAAAAGAUAGCCAAAUACUUAGAGUGAUUUUUUAGCUAUCUACAAACUAGCAACUAAGAAAUUAAAGAUAUAAAGAUAUAAUAUAAAGCUUUAAAUAAAUCGGGGUAAUAAACAGAAACAUAAUUUAUAAAAAUAAUAACUUACAUGUUUACAAGAGAGAGAUUUCCCUUUCGGUAAACCCAAAAGAGUUUACUGGACUUGGAAAUAAAAACUUGCACACUAAAGCAUAAAGUUUUAUUUAUUUUACAGAUUUGAGAUAGAAAAUACUAAAGCAUACAUAGGGGAAUAUUUUACAAAGAGAGUCGUGGAGAAUGGUUUUUCUGGUGUAGGUGAAGGGAAGAGAGUAUGUUUUUCUUCAGAUGGUUAU
Molecule: long non-coding RNA, 1591 nt
Filed under: Nicotiana tabacum (common tobacco)
Lineage: Eukaryota; Viridiplantae; Streptophyta; Magnoliopsida; Solanales; Solanaceae
Description: long non-coding RNA (NTAB_LNC000103)
Source: RNAcentral